GACGAACGCUGGCGGCGUGCUUAACACAUGCAAGUCGAACGGAAAGGCCCUGCUUUUGUGGGGUGCUCGAGUGGCGAACGGGUGAGUAACACGUGAGUAACCUGCCCUUGACUUUGGGAUAACUUCAGGAGACUGGGGCUAAUACCGGAUAGGAGCUCCUGCUGCAUGGUGGGGGUUGGAAAGUUUCGGCGGUUGGGGAUGGACUCGCGGCUUAUCAGCUUGUUGGUGGGGUAGUGGCUUACCAAGGCUUUGACGGGUAGCCGGCCUGAGAGGGUGACCGGCCACAUUGGGACUGAGAUACGGCCCAGACUCCUACGGGAGGCAGCAGUGGGGAAUAUUGCACAAUGGGCGGAGGCCUGAUGCAGCAACGCCGCGUGCGGGAUGACGGCCUUCGGGUUGUAAACCGCUUUCGCCUGUGACGAAGCGUGAGUGACGGUAAUGGGUAAAGAAGCACCGGCUAACUACGUG
Molecule: ribosomal RNA, 468 nt
Filed under: uncultured bacterium
Lineage: Bacteria
Description: partial 16S ribosomal RNA
Rfam family: Bacterial small subunit ribosomal RNA
Source: RNAcentral